GCGGCAGGCCGCUUUAUCGCUGCUUCGGUUAAACGGGGCAGAGGAAAGUCCGGGCAACGCAGGGCGCCGUGUUUCCUAGCGGGAAGGUCUUUGAAAGGGGACAGCAACGUAACAGAAAAUAACCACCUUGUUGUGGCGUGUCCACGACGGGGAACGGGUGAAAAGGUGCGGUAAAAGCGCACCGGUGAUGGUGGUAACAUCGUCAGCCGUACGUCUCACGGGUUGCAAGGCCAUGUAUAUCCAAAGUGUUUGCCGCUGUUGCGGUACAGCAAAACGGCCCGUUUUGUUCUCAACGCACAAGAGACUUUGGAGGGGUAGGCUGCAGGAUUCCGACAGUGAUGUCGGGACUAGAUAAAUGAUAAAGGCUUUUCGUUUGUUUUCGGAUGGAUGGAAGAGUACAGGACCCGGCUUACAGGCCUGCCACUAUU
RNAcentral lists this RNase P RNA (428 nucleotides) under Draconibacterium aestuarii. Its description in RNAcentral is "Prolixibacteraceae bacterium Z1-6 Bacterial RNase P class A". It matches the Rfam family "Bacterial RNase P class A". From Rfam's summary of the family: Ribonuclease P (RNase P) is a ubiquitous endoribonuclease, found in archaea, bacteria and eukarya as well as chloroplasts and mitochondria. Its best characterised activity is the generation of mature 5'-ends of tRNAs by cleaving the 5'-leader elements of precursor-tRNAs. Lineage: Bacteria; Pseudomonadati; Bacteroidota; Bacteroidia; Marinilabiliales; Prolixibacteraceae. The record is from Rfam by way of RNAcentral.